UACGGAGGGUGCAAGCGUUAUCCGGAUUCACUGGGUUUAAAGGGUGCGUAGGCGGGCAGGUAAGUCAGUGGUGAAAUCUCCGAGCUUAACUCGGGAAACUGCCUUUGAUACUAUCUGUCUUGAAUAUUGUGGAGGUAAGCGGAAUAUGUCAUGUAGCGGUGAAAUGCUUAGAGAUGACAUAGAACACCUAUUGCGAAGGCAGCUUACUACGCAUAUAUUGACGCUGAGGCACGAAAGCGUGGGGAUCAAACAGG
Molecule: ribosomal RNA, 254 nt
Filed under: uncultured bacterium
Lineage: Bacteria
Description: partial 16S ribosomal RNA
Rfam family: Bacterial small subunit ribosomal RNA
Source: RNAcentral